ACAAUUUUAAUUUAAUAUUAGUCAUAGUAUGAAGAAAUAACACAUGUGGAGUUGAUUCAAACAUAUAAAAGUCCUGGUGUGUUAAUACAGUACAACACUACAAUACUGAGACUCAUCUGUACAGCAUCUCCAACAAGCACCUCAACCGAUCGUCUGGUAACAAUGUCACAGCAGAGAGAGAUGAAGGGCUCAGCUAAACCAACUCAAUACAUUCCUAAAUGCCCACCUCAGGAUCAAACUAAACCUCCAUCUCAGUGCAUUCCUAAAUGCCCACCUCAGGAUCAAACUAAACCUCCAUCUCAGUGCAUUCCUAAAUGCCCACCUCAGGAUCAAACUAAACCUCCAUCUCAGUGCAUUCCUAAAUGCCCACCUCAGGAUCAAACUAAACCUCCAUCUCAGUGCAUUCCUAAAUGCCCACCUCAGGAUCAAACUAAACCUCCAUCUCAGUGCAUUCCUAAAUGCCCACCUCAGGAUCAAACUAAACCUCCAUCUCAGUGCAUUCCUAAAUGCCCACCUCAGGAUCAAACUAAACCUCCAUCUCAGUGCAUUCCUAAAUGCCCACCUCAGGAUCAAACUAAACCUCCAUCUCAGUGCAUUCCUAAAUGCCCACCUCAGGAUCAAACUAAACACCCAUCUCAAGGCCCUAAAUGCUUACCUUAAGAAGAUAUUAAAGUAAAGAGAGUGAAACUGUAAAGGAAUAUAUCAGAAAAAAUGAGCUAUCUAUGUAUCCUCUUUACAGCAAACCUAAACCCAAAUUAAUAACAUAUGUUAAAUACGCUAUAUUUUAAUAUUUCAUAUCUUUGCUUUACUGGACAUGCAUGUAAAUGGUGGUGGGAGUUGGAGCUGUAAGUCGGCACAAACACGUGCUUGACCCGAAUGAUCCACUUAUUGAAAAUCAUACGUGGAAAUGUUUUACUGAUUAAUAAAACACUGUAACACUUAUAUAGCUUAUAAAACUAAUAAAGCUUCCUCGAUGAAAACUUUCA
Molecule: long non-coding RNA, 986 nt
Organism: Triplophysa rosa
Lineage: Eukaryota; Metazoa; Chordata; Actinopteri; Cypriniformes; Nemacheilidae
Exons: 2
Source: RefSeq, a predicted model, not a curated record